GACGAACGCUGGCGGCGUGCUUAACACAUGCAAGUCGAACGGUAAGGCCCUUCGGGGUACACGAGUGGCGAACGGGUGAGUAACACGUGGGUGAUCUGCCCUGCACUUCGGGAUAAGCCUGGGAAACUGGGUCUAAUACCGGAUAGGACCCUGGGAUGCAUGUCCUGGGGUGGAAAGCUUUUGCGGUGUGGGAUGGGCCCGCGGCCUAUCAGCUUGUUGGUGGGGGGAUGGCCUACCAAGGCGACGACGGGUAGCCGGCCUGAGAGGGUGACCGGCCACACUGGGACUGAGAUACGGCCCGGACUACUACGGGAGGCAGCAGUGGGGAAUAUUGCACAAUGGGCGCAAGCCUGAUGAAGCGACGCCGCGUGAGGGAUGACGGCCUUCGGGUUGUAAACCUCUUUCAGCACCGACGAAGCGCAAGUGACGGUAGGUGCAGAAGAAGGACCGGCCAACUACGUGCCAGCCGCCGCAGUAA
This 478-nucleotide ribosomal RNA is filed under the name uncultured bacterium. Its description in RNAcentral is "partial 16S ribosomal RNA". It matches the Rfam family "Bacterial small subunit ribosomal RNA", at positions 28 to 523 of the family's 1533-position model. The record is from RNAcentral.